Molecule: ribosomal RNA, 253 nt
Filed under: uncultured bacterium
Lineage: Bacteria
Description: partial 16S ribosomal RNA
Rfam family: Bacterial small subunit ribosomal RNA
Source: RNAcentral
UACAGGGGGUGCAAGCGUUGCUCGGAAUUAUUGGGCGUAAAGCGCGCGUAGGCGGCCACUUAAGUCGGAUGUGAAAGCCCCUGGCUCAACUGGGGAAGUGCACCCGAAACUGAAUGGCUUGAAUGCAAAAGAGGGUCGCGGAAUUCCCGGUGUAGAGGUGAAAUUCGUAGAUAUCGGGAGGAACACCGGUGGCGAAGGCGGCGACCUGGGUUGACAUUGACGCUGAGGCGCGAAAGCGUGGGGAGCAAACAGG